Molecule: long non-coding RNA, 16951 nt
Filed under: Capsicum annuum
Lineage: Eukaryota; Viridiplantae; Streptophyta; Magnoliopsida; Solanales; Solanaceae
Description: long non-coding RNA (CANN_LNC019643)
Source: RNAcentral
CCAAGUUUGAAUCUCAUAAUAAGGUAGUAUAGAUAUCAAAAUCAUACUGAAAGCGGAAACUAUCUGAAUUUAAUAUCCGAAAAUAAUGUCUGGAACCUUAAUACUGAAUAAUCUGAAUAAAAACUAGUAGUCUGACAAUCCUCUACUACUAAUAAAUAGAGAGCCAUUGGGAUACACCCCCAGCUGACUCGAACUGUCUAAAAAGAAUGCUGAAUCAUCUAAGCUGAAAAUCUGAAUAACUAAGUCCCCGAACUAUGAUGACUCACCAACUAUCAGACUGUAGAUACUCGAAAUUACUCAUGCUGUUGGAACUGAGCACCUGAACCUACAUUAUGAGACAAUGUAACACAGACGUAUAUGUGGAUUAGUACUUUUAGGAUGUACUGAGUAUAUGGUUGCAAGCAUAAUUGAUAAUGCCUAGUGGUAAAAAAAUGACACCUUAGUUUAAUGGAUGGGAAUGUGUAAAUGGUUUUAAUUGGGCUUAAUGGGGUUGUGUAGCUCAAGCUGAAGGUCUUAGUCUCAGGGAAGAUGAAUACUGAAAAUCACAUUUACCGAUGUGGGGGUCUUUAUGAUCUUGUGCAUAGUUCACACUUGAUAUGUUUAUAUCUUAGAUUGGUAUGGGGUCAUGGAUUCCCUGACCUUCUUUGGAUUUCCUGGUUCUUGCGGUUACACGCAUUGGGGCCCUUCCAAUGGGAGGAGCCGGACCUGUUAGCCUGUGGGUGCCUUUAGGUUGGUUGGAGAUACACACUCCAGGAUAAUGUGUUAAAUCUCAUGUUAAGUCCUAUUUCCUAUCUCAACAUUUUAUAUAUCUGUAUAUAUGCAUGUAUGUGAACAUGUACAUUGAGUAUGGACUUGAUUUUUAAAUAACAUUACUUUAUUCCUAUCUCGAGUUACAUGCUAGCGAUCUCCUUGCUAACCAUCCUAGGACGCUACAUUGUUUUAUAAUGUAGGGUCCGAGGAUACCUCUUUUGCCCAUGUGUAGCUUUUGGUGACCGGGUUCGUCAGUUGGUUCGCGGUGAAGUGGUAAACUUCCAUCCUCCAAAAAACUUAGCCAUUCCAUCGAUUUAUUUCCAUAUUAUAGAAUUAAAGAGUUCACAUUAGCAUUAUCAUUAUAAUUGUCACCAUCAUGGUUGGGGGCAUGUCCCGAUCUAGUUUUAUAUUCAGAUUGUUUUAGAGGCUUUUGUGAAAACCUAUGGAUUGGGAUAUUUGUUUGGAAUCGUAGAAUCUUCGUCUUGGUGUAUUUAUCUUUUAUAUGUUCGUUUGGAUUGCUUUCACUAUUAUACUAUAUUGUGUUCUGAUUGGCUAGGCUUAGUGGGUGGCUUUCUGUCCUCGAUGGACUUGAGAUACCCGUCACAACUAGGCCCUGAUUCAGGUCGUGAUAGUAAGGGUUGUUAAAAUUCAAUUGAUUUUUCAUAGAGUUCAAAUGCUUUACAGACAUCACAAAUUCUUUUUAAUUGCCUUGAUAGAACCUUUCUAAGACAUAAGGAAAUUCAAAGAUACAAAAGAAGGUUGGGGAUGCAGUAUGUGAAUUAUAAUCAAAAUGGUCAGAUAUAGUUUUUUGUGCAAGAGCAUAUUCAAGUGGGAGUGAUUGUCAAUUUUGAGCAACAACUUUCAUUACACCUCACAGUGGAAUAUGAUAAGUAGACGAUGACUACAGUGGUAUAUGCCAAAUAUUAUACUUUAGAGAGUCUAGUCUAUGCGAUGAUUUGUAUGCCAUUGGGUACAAUCUUUCCUUUCCUUGGUUAUAGGGGCAGAGUUGAAUGUCAUUUUAUAUGAUGAAGAAAAAUUGGUGGGCUACCCGUAUAUCCUUAUGCAUUUGAGGACUUUAGCUUAUGUAUAAAUUGUGAGUUUUUUGAGAUUAGUGUCACCGGGAACCCUUUCACCUGGAUGAAUGGUAGAGCUGAUGAAGAAUAUAUUUUCAAAACGCUCGACAGAAUCAUGAAUUAGGCUGUAUAGGACAUAUUUGGGAAUAUAAAAUGUAAUAUUUGACUAUAACUGAGUCUGAUCAUGCCCCUUUAAUGCUCAAGGAGAAAUUCAGUAAUUCUCAAAACCUCUUAGGUUUUUAAAGUUCUGAAUAGAAAAAGAUGAUUUUAAAAAGUGGUUAGGCAUAUUCGGAGGGCAGAUGAAUAUGGGGAUUGCUUCAAAAGAUUGAAAUACAAGCAGAAGAGAGCUAAAUAUGCACUGUCUAAGUGGAGUAGAGACAUCUUUGGGGAUCUAUUUAAACAACUAAGCAUCAGGGAAGAGAUUGUGAAGUUAAAGGAGGGCCUAUUUGAUGACAACCAAGUGCAACGAAUAUGGCUAUUUUAUAGCAUAUACAAGUUGAACAAAAGUAAUAUCUCCACUGUAAGGAGGAAUUUUUCAUACAAAAGGCUAGUAUCCAGUGGUUCACUAAAAGGGGAUAAAAAUAUAAAUUUUUUCCAUUGUCUGGUGAAAGAAGAAGAAAGAAAUUACAAUUGAAGAGAAGUUUAAAGCAUGAUGGUACUUGGGUUGAAGGAGAUGAGCAGAUUGCUAAUGAAGCAAUGAACUUUUUCCAAAACCGAUUCUCAGGAGAGCUCUUUACUGACGAACAUUGUUAUAACAUAUCCCAUCAUUAAUUAUUAAAAAAGAUAACAUUAUGCUCAUGUAACGCCCUAAAAAUGAGUCCCGAGACAUCACACGGUGCUCAAGACUAUGAGUAGCCUUAAACUAACCUUGUCUACCUUCUAUUAAGUUUGAAUCUCAUAAUAAGUAAUAUAGAUAUCAAAAUCAUACUGAAAGCAGAAACUAUCUGAAUGUAAUAUCCGAAAAUAAUGUCUGGAACCUUAAUACUGAAUAAUCUGAAUUAAAACUAUCAAGACUACGAGUAGCCUUAAGCUAACCUUGUCUGCCUUCUACUAAGUUUGAAUCUCAUAAUAAGGUAAUAUAGAUAUCAAAAUCAUACUGAAAACAGAAACUAUUUGAAUGUAAUAUCCGAAAAUAAUGUCUGAAACCUUAAUACUGAAUAAUCUGAAUUAAAACUAGUAGUCUGAUAAUCCUCUACUACUAAUAAUAAAUCGAGGGGCAGAGUAGAAUAACUUUAACAUACAAAUUUGAUGCCUCAAGUUACACAGUUAGAUUCGCUGAACAGAUUCGUAAUUUCUCCUCCAAAGGCUAGAUAGACGGAAAGAAUGAUCCUCAUUUAGAUGACUAUUAGAGAUAUUGUCUUGUUGCUGGAAAAAAGGCCCUCAAUGAUGGAAAACAAAAUUUGGGUCAGGUUAUGGGUUGGUCCAAAUUGGUGGGUCGGGUUAUGGGUUGGUCCAAAUUGGUGGGUCGGGUUAUGGGUUGUAACGGAGGGUAUAUUUGGACCUUUUUGCAAGGUUAAGGGGUAUAUUUGCUCUUAAACUUUAAGAGCGAGAGCAUAUUUGGGCCAAACUUGUAACAGAGGGUAUAUUUGGACCUUUUCGCAAAGUUUAGGAGUAUAUUUGCUCCUAAACUUUAACAGCAAGGGCAUAUUUAGACCAAACUUGUAACGGAGGGUAUAUUUGGACCUUUUUGCAAAGUUAAGAGGUAUAUUUGACCCUUUACCCUUUGUAAAAUAAUGCAUGCCAAAUGUAAAUGACUCACAUAAGCUGGAAUAUCUGAAAUACUGAAAUCUAUAAUCAUGAAUAACAAAUAAUUAGUGAGUCAUAACAUUUAGUUCUAAAAGUCGUACUAGUAUUAUGUCUGUAAAUCAUGCUGCCUAAGUGUAGAAAGGACUCACUUCUGUAUCUGAAAUCUGAAAGCUGAAAUCUAUAGCUAAUAUCUUUUGGUAAAGCAUAAUCUGAAUAAAGUUGUGAGCCUUUACACGUAGUUUUCUAAAAGUUUUUUUAUUACUAGUAGGAAGAAUACUUUAUCUAAAGGGAGGUUCUUCUAACCGACAUAAACCAUGUGAGCUAACAUGGAGUCCAACGUCUUGCUCCCCUAUGGGGAAAACCUCACGAUAGGGAGAGGUGUCAACUCUUGCCAAGGAGUAUAACCUAAUCUAAGUGAUCAUAUAUGUGUCUGUCAUCCAUAUAGAAAUGGGAAUAAUCUGAAUCUGUACCUACGUUGGCUACGUAGUUCUGUGGAAAAUAGGGCACGCUAAUCCCACACUUCUAGCUCAGUGCUAAAUACUACUCCCUUUUAAUCUGUAUGCACAUUCUGUUGGAAAUCCACUUUAAAAGCUAGCAUAAGGGUUAUUACAGAACCAAUUAUGCAUUUAUCUGAUUCAACCUGUGAGUAAAACUAUUCUGAUUUUUGAAAUUUGUAAUAAAUCUGUAAAGUGGAUUCCAAAUCUUAUCUGAGGAUCAAAAGAUCAAGGCUUUUUGAAAAUCUGAAAAUAAACUGAUCAUCUAAUGCUUAAAGCGUGAUCUUUCUUGAAAUAAUAAUAUUCAAUCUAGGGAUGAUAACCUAUGCAUCAAUCUCAUGUCAAAACAUCAUAAUAAUCAUGCUUGGUAAUGAAAACAAUGAUAGUUCAUCUCAAAAUCUGGAAAUUACUGCAAUAGGCAUGAAAAUAUGAAAAUAGUCAUGCAAUUCAACUUCUAAAAAACUUGAAAUCUCUUAAUCUUGCAAUUAGCAAUCCUAAUUCAAAAAACUCAUGUAUAAUCAUUCAAAAUCAUAUAAAUUUAAAAUAAAAGCUUGGUUUUGGGAACAAGGAUAAAAGAGGAUCCUUGUUUAUAAACCCUACAUACCUUAAUUGAUGAAAUUUCUAAGAAAGCUUGAACUUGAAUCUCUAUUUGAGCCUUUGAAGAUGAACUCUUGGUUCUCUUGAUUUGAGAAUCCUCAAUUUUGAGUUUUCUUGGAGAAACAAUGGAGGAAAUUGAUUUCUUGGAGAGUAAGGUUUUGAACUUUAGGGUUUUCCUUUGAGAGAGAAUGGAUGAAAAUAAACAUAAAGUGCUUAGAAUAGACUUAAUUCCUUGUUUUGGACGAAUUGGGGCUUGGGAUUUGACCAAAGUACCCCUCUUAAAAUUUAAUCGGAACUGGAAAAAAGAUAAAUUUUCCGAAUUUGCAUGCCACUGCAACGCUCCACUAUCGCGGUGGAUCAUUGGAAUUUGACAACUGAAAACUGGACAUUCUACGCGACGCGGAGCUAUCGCGGUGCACUACUGAAAUGCCAUUUUGGCCAUCACCGUGACGUGCCACUAUCGCAGUGAGCCACUGGAAAUUGACAAUUGGGAAAUAAGGCUUCACCACGACACGGGCUUAUCGCAGAGGUCCACUUAAACCAAACAAUUGCCAUUUUGCAAGUAACCGCGGCGUGAUGCUUCUCCAGUUGGGAUACUACUUUACUAAAAAUGCCAUAACUUCUCAACCGAGUAUCGGAUUUGGGAGAAAUUGGUAUUGAUGGAAAGCUUAUUCAAUUAUAUACACAAUGGUUUCACAUGUAACAAAAAUUAUUCAUUUUUAAAGCUAGCCUUUGACAUUCUAGGUGUUAAAUUGAGAUGGAAAAGUACGGGGUAUUACAGCCCAACGGAUUACCUACAAAUGUAAAGAUCAGAAGGACAAUAUUUGAGUUAAAUGGUGAUAGUGCAUGUGGUCUUGAUGGUUUCAUUGGUUGAUUCUAUCAGAAUUGUUGGGAUAUUGGUGGGGGAGAUAUUAGUGACAUUGUUCAUGCUUUCAUAAAAGGCUCCACUUUACCUAAAUCAAUUUCUCACACUAAUUUGGCGUUACUGCCUUAGAAAGAUGUCAUUCAUAUAUUUUCAAACCUAAGACCAAUUAGCUUUAAGUAAAUUUUGGAAUAAAGUAAUCUCCAGUCUUUCGUAUGAUAGGAUGGACCUUUUCUUCUAGGCUGAUUUCACAUUUCGCAGAACCAAUCAAACUUUGUGAAUGGAAGGAGCAUCACUAAAAAUAUUUUAUUAGCUCAAGAGAUUAUUUCUAAUAUUAGAAAAAAAGGAAACCAACAAAUAUAGUCAUUAGGCUUGACAUGGUAAAGACUUAUGACAAAGUUGAAUGGAAAUUUUUGAUUAAAGUCUUGGAAAAAAUAGGUUUAAUAAAAUAAUUAUGGAUAAGAUUUGGAGAAUUGUGGCUGAUAAUUGGUAUUCUAUUCUAAUUGUUGGACAAGCUCGUAAUUUUUUCCAUUCCACCGAAGGUGUCAAAUAAGGGGAUCCUUUAUCCCCUUUAUUAUUUAUUUUGUCUGUUGACGUGUUAUCUAAAACCACGAAUCAACUAUUUUAUAGUAGAGAAUUCAAGGGUAUUGGAAUACAUAAAUGGAGUGAAAGUUUAAAUCACAUGACCUAUGUUGAUGACAUGAGAAAGUCAUUACAAUUAAAUUUGAAGGUUUUGGAUCAAUAUUAAAUGUAGUCAAGUCAGAAAAUCAACUAAGAAAAACAUUUUUUCUUUAUGUAUAGGUAGGCUGCAACUAAUGUUGUCCAAGAAGUGGAGGUUGUAACUAGUUUUAUAGGGGUAAAUUCCCAAUGAUGUAUUUGGGGUUUCCUAUUGGUCAUGCAAGAAGCAAGACUUUGUUGAACUUAUCAAGAAGAUGCAGAAUAACUGAAUGUAUGGAAAGGUAAGUUACUAUCAUUUGGUGGAAAAUCUGUCCUAAUAAACCAUGUUUCUUCGAGAGUAUCCCUAUCGAGUUAUUGUCUGCUAUCAUUUAUCCUAAAUGUGUAUUGAAGAUUCCAUAGAAUCUUUUCUAAGUUUUUAUGGAAUUUUAUGAAAGAAGAAAAGGCAAAGAACCGAGUGUCAUAGCAGAAUAUCUAUCUUCCCUAAAUUAAAGGUGGUUUAGGUUUUAGAUAUCUUUAUGAUGUGUCAGAGGCUUUAUUUGCUAAAUUGUGGAGGAUUUUUAGGACUAAGUCCUUAUGGGCCAAUUUUAUAAGGAACAAAUAUUGGAAAAGGCUUCUCAAAUAUGGAAACAUAUGCUAUAUAAUGACCCUUAGGUUAUUUUCUGUAUUUCCAUACUAUUGCAAUGUCUAGAGGUUUUCCAUAGUUUCCUCAAGUUAUUUAUGACUUGCUGGAGAUGACAAUUUAGUUACUGGAGAGUUCGUUAAGUUUUUAGAGUCAAUUCCCUAUUUUGAAGUUCUCACUGUUGAGAAUUGGUUAUCGGGCUUAAACUUUAGGUUAACAUCGUCAUAUACCAAUUCUAAUAGUUUUGCUAGAUCUAAAAUGUUGAUUUUAGGCUUGGGGGACCUUUGGUUUGGGUCCUAAGGAUUUCAAACUCGUGUUAGGCUAUUGGGUGGAUUUUGGUUAAAAUAGUCAUUGAGUGUGCGAUCCACAUUUUAUUGAAAUGAACUCAGCUGGAAAUUUUGAUGGCACAGUUGAGAGAAUAUUGAUUUUGGUAGGGUAGCAUAGCUCAUUUGCAUUCACAUAAUUCUGAAUGAAUCCUGAAGGUCCACUCAGAAACUUGACAAAUACCAAGUGUAGUUGGUGCAGCAUCAGCUGGUGCAGCGCAAAAAUAGCCUUCACAUUCAUGAUGGCCAUGGAAAAUUGGCUACCACAAUCAUGAUGACCUUGGCCGCAUCUGCGAAGGCCAAGUUUACUAGCCAUCGCAUUUGCGAGCUUGCCUUCGCAUUCACAAAGAGUAUUCUCUGGGUCGAACUAGGCAUUCUUUCUUGAGAUCGAGGUGGACCGGCCGUGUUCGUGAAGGGUAAGUUGGAUUGAGCCCUGCAUUUGCAGAGGGGUCCUCACCUUCACGAUGAAGGGACCCCAAGCAGUAUAUAUGCUGCCAAACCCAAUUUUUCUCCCAUUUUCAAGUCUCAACUUCCAUUAAUAUCCCUAGAGAGCUAAGAGAGUGAGAGGAUCGAUACAUGGGUGUUUAGGGUGAGUUAGAGAGUUUGGGGGAUGUUUUUCCAUCAAGAAUUAUUGUAAAUUUUCUUAUAUUUCUUAUUUAAGUCUCUACUUUAAUCUCGAAAUCCCUAACACUUUGUGGGCUGAUUUGAGGGAGCAAUUUUGCUCGUAUUCAUCAUUUUUUUAGGAUAAAUGAUCCUUGAGCCUAGAAGAGCGUUUUGGCGGUUUCAAAGUUGUGAUCUUGCAACUAGCCCCACAUGGGAUUUUUAGCUCAAUUUCGGAACCAAAGAAUUUAUAUGCAAUAUGGGUAUUUUUAUUCUUGUAUUAAUGUGUAUAUCAUUAUUUUGAUAGUGUAGCAUCGUACAAAGGCUUCCUGGAAGGUAAAAUCUCUAAUUUAGUGGAUUUUCUUGGGCAUUCUUCGAUGUACAGGUAGGUUAGGCUUACUUUUCUCAUAUAUUGAGCUAUAUUAUUGUACUGGUGUGGUCUUAUGCUAGAUUUGGGUUGGAAAUUAUGACUUGAUUGUAUGUUUAGCGAAAUUUGGAAUAUUUAGCCGAUUAGUGAAUCGUGUUUAGGUAGAAUUGACCUGUUCAUCCUUUCCUUGGAUUAAACUAAGACAUUAGGACAUAUUGGACUUAUUUUACUCCUUGUAGUAGGUCUUGGAAGCCUUAGUCUAGUUUUUGGUAGAAAUUGUCUUAGUAUGAAUUUUUGGGUUUUAGUAGCGGGCUCCGUCGACCCUCUUUAAGGUCAAACAUCUGAAGUAGCUCCCGAUAGAUCUAGGAGGCCUUCUCUCAUUAUUAUAUAAAUAUUCUUGGACCCUAAGAUGAUUUAGUCAAUUUUCAAUUAUCGACUAGAUUUAGUAACCUGUAUUUACUUUAAAGACUGGUUCGAGCCCAACACUUACUAUUCAUUUAUGAUGCUUAAAGACCAAUUUGAGUUUGACAUAUAUUAAUCACUUAUUAUAUAAAAGUUUGGUUUGAGUUUGACAAUUAUGGUUCACUUAUGAUGACUAGGGAUCCGGUUCGAGUCCAAUGUUUGUUGUAUGAAAGGAUUAACAGAUAUGGUUUUGGUGGCCAAUUACUUUAUAAUUACUAUUGUUUUUAUUUUUCCCUUAAUUACGUCCAUUGAGCUUAUGGAGACUCGUUUGGAUUAUCCUUCUCUUGUUUGCGCCUUCUAGGCUUAUGGGGGUCAAGUUAGGCUAUAGUUGACUUGUAUUCUUUUGAUAUUAUCUAUUGUAUUAUUUAUUAUCUAUCAGCUGGAGUGUUGUUUCAGGUUUUCCCUUUUUAUCCCUGACUUUAUUUUACAUUCACGCAUUUUAUUAUGCUUUUAUUAUGAUUUAGCUUAGUUGACUGAUAUGCCUACUGGGUACCCAUUGGUUUUGUACUCCUACUAUGCUUCUGCAUCUUUUUCUAAUACAGAUCCAAGUACUAGCUAUCACCACUGACAUUCUAUCCAGCACAAUCUAGAGUUCGAUGAUAGGGUGAGCUUUUGGAGUCGGAGUUGAUUCUCUCUCCUUAUGUUAGUUUUGGAAAAUCUUUUUGACACUAUUUGUAUAUUGACAUUAUUCAUUCUCUUAUUCUUUUGAUUAGUGACUCUUACCGACCUUACUAGGUCGUGAGAUACUUUUUUGCUCUUUCUCUCUCUUAUUUAUAUAUAUGCCAUCCUUUUAAUAUUAUAUCGCCUACAAUCUAUUUGUAUGCUUAAUUCUCAAUAGUCAUCAUACCUUCCACCAAAUAGCCUAUUAUUUGUCAUUCUGAGUUGUGAUUUGGCUUACCUACUGGUUGGUUAAUGUAAUACCCCAAACUUUUUCAAGCUUAAAUUCAUUCAUAGAAUGUUAUGGGAUAUCUUCCAAAAUGAUUAAUAUUUGUUUCGCAUAGAAUUUUCUAGAUUUCAACUUUUCAUCAUGUGGGAAAUUAAAUAAGCUUUCCAUCGAUAUCAAAUUUGCCCAAAUCCGACACUCGGUGAAGAAGUUAGAGCACUUUUAAGUUGACAGCGUGCCAACUAGGCAGUCACCGCGUCGCGGUGAAGGACAAUUUCAUAAUCUUCACUUACCAGUGGACCACCGCGAUGUUGGCACGUCGCGGCGAGGUCCAAAUUCCCAUUUGUUAAUUUCCAGUGGACCUCUGUGAUAUUGGUGCGUCGCGGAGAGGUCCAUUUUUCCAAUUGUAGAAUUCCGUAGCCUAACGCGAUAGGGGCGUAUCGCACCGAAGGCCAAAAUGGCAUUUCUAUAGGGCACCGCAAUGGUGGCGCAUCGCGUUGAAGUUUCAGGUCCCAAUUGUCAAAACCUAGUGGGACAGCGCAAUAGCUCCGCAUCGCGGUGGACCCCAAUUUCCCAUUCGUCAGUUUUCAGUGAGCCAGCGCGAUAGUGGCACAUCGCGGUGGCCUAUUAAAUCGGGACCCAGUUACGUUUUUUUUUUCAGUUUCGUUUAGAAGUGAAAAAGGGCAUUUUGGACUUUUUCCCAGCACCCAAUUCCAUCUAAACACAAGAUUUAGGGCUAUUACAAACAUCUUAUGGUAUAUUUCUCAAGAUUUCUCUCAACUAAAAACCCUAAGCUUCAACAAUCAACCUCAAGAAUCUCAAGAUUCCACCAUCCUUUUUCCAAAUUAAUUCAAGAUUCCCAACACAAGAAUUCCAAGAACCAUAAUUCAAGAGUACAAAUAGAGUCUCAAAAGCAAGGUUGUUCAUCUAGUUCAACAUCCAAGGUAUGUGGGGUUUGAACAAGGACAAGUCUUUCGUUCUUGUGCCCAAAAAACUUGAAUUUUAUUAAAGAUUACAUGAUUUACAAGUUGGGGUUUAUACCCAAAGCAUCUUGUUUUAAGUUUAUGAAGAUAUAAGUGAUUUAAGCCUUGAAUUGCAUAUUUAUCCCACCUAUUUAUGCUUUGAAUUGAGGAUUUAUAUCAUGAAUUGCACAUUCCCAUUGUGAAUUGAUAUUUUCAAGUGUUUCCAAGAUAAUUGUUGAGAAUUAAGCUUCAUUAUGAAAUUGUGAUCAUUUAAGUACAUAUGCUUUAAACCCAAGUAAGAAUUUUGAUAUUUCAUGAAGAGUAUAUUGUUAGCAUGCUUUAACAAGCAAGCAUUCAGAUUUUAAAGAAAGAUUGAUCUUCCGAACCUAAGCUAAGAUAGGAAUCCACAUUAUUUAUGAUUUAAAGCAAAGAGAACUAUAAUUGGUUUUCAUUAUAAACCCUUGUGCUGUUUUAAGGUGAAUUUCCUAAAAGUUCUGAGCAAUAAGUAUGGGAGUAGUAUUUAGCACUGAGUUGGGUAUGAUUCCAAGGUCUCAUUCCCCAAAACUACGAGCCACGUUGGUUCUAAACGCCCAUAGUAGGCUAAGAUAGUGAUCACUAAAGUUAAGGUUCUAUUCCGAUGGCAAGGGUAGAACAGCUCUCUCCAAUGUGGGCAAGACGUUAGACUCCAUGUCAGCUCACAUGGUUUAUGUCGGUUAGAAGAAACUCCCUGAGUCCCAAAGUCCCUAAGUCCCAAAGUUCCAAGAUUUCCAAAGCUCCCAAAGCUUAUGAGUUUCAAAAGAAAAGAAUGAUAGAAAAACUUUUAUAAGACUAAGUGUUAUGACUCACUAGAUUCACAAGUAUGAUUUGUUAUACAUGAUUUUAUAUUUUGAUAUUUUAGAUAAUCAAGCUUAUGUGAGUCAUAUACAUCCACAUGCAUUUACUUUCUAAUUAUGAUGAUGUUUACUUAUGCAUUACACCCUAUAUACUCAGUACAUCCUUAAAGUGCUGAUCCACAUAUAUGUCUAUGAGCUACAUUGUCUUAUAAUGUAGGUUCAGGUGCUCAGUAUCAUCAACGUGAGUAGUUCAAGCAUCUCUAUCUACGCUCCCACAGUUGGUGAGUCCUCAUGAUUUGAGGGCCUACUUUUUCAGAUUUCCAGCUUUCAUAGUAAUUGAGUUAUCAUUUUAAGUUUAGACCGACUCAGUUGGGGGUCUGUCCCAAUGGCUCUCUAGUUCUUUAGUAGUAAAGGCUCGUCGGACUACGAGUUUAAUUACAGACUUUUAGUAUUUGUUAUUCAGACAGUACGUACGUUUAUUCAGUUCAGUUUUUGGUAUAAUAUAAUAUUAUUUCUUGAUUAGAUUAUCUUAAAGUAAGGUUCAGAUCUAGUAGCAGGCUCAAAGGGUUAGCUUGGGACUAUUCAUAGCCUUGAGCACCGUGGGACGUCUUGGGAUUAGAUUUUGGGGCGUUACAGUUAAAGAGGUGCCAUUAUGACCUGACAAACUAGGUCCUGACAUGCUAUCAGCUAGAGACAGUGUUGAUCAGGAGAUUUAGUGAAAACCUAGAUGUGGUCAUUCUAGCAUUUGGUUUGACAAUUGGACGCAAUUAGGAGAUCUUCCGUAUUACUUCCCUAUUAAUCACAACAUUGAUGAGAACUUUGAUGAUAUGAGUUAACUACUAAAUCAAGAAAGUUGGAAUGAAGAAUUAAUGAUGGAUAUUCUUAAUGAAGAUGUUUGUAAUCAGGCGAGACAAGUGAUUAGGGUAAUUCAUAAUAGGGAUGACUGGGAUAAGGCAUGGUGGAUGCUAAGCAGUAUAGGAAAGUUUUCUGUUAAAUAUACGUGGGAGUUACUUAGACAGAGAAGACCACCUCUAGAUUUGAUCACCUCUAGAGUUGACCAUGAUUUUUUGGGAAUCAGGAAUCCCUUUCAUAGUCUCUUUCCUUACUUGAAGUCUUUGGAAGAAAAGGAUUCCUAUUGGAGAGGUUUUAGUGAAAAUAAAAGUGGUUAAAGAUAUGGUUUGUUGUUAAUACAACAAUAGUGAGCAUGAAACUUUUGACCACUUGUUCAUGAAGUGUCUAGAUUCAAACUACUCAUGGAGUAUAUUUGCAGGACCUGUAGGAGUACCUAGUCCUUUUGUGAUGUGGUGGAGUGCAGACACUAGUGCAAAACUGAAGCCUUUGUACUAGGUUGUUCCCAUUUUUAUUGUCUGACAGGUAUGAAAAAGAAGGAAUAGGAUUAGAAAUGGAGGAAGAAUGUAAACGACUAGCUUUUUGAUGAAAUAUGUGAAUUGUGUGUUUUUGUGUAAUUUGAUUGUUUCACCCCUCCCCAUAACUGUAUUAUGGUAUUUUUGGGAUGUAGGGGGUGAUUGGCAUGGUUCUCGAUGCAUUUUGGUACCAUUUAUGUAUAUUGUGGUUUUUGAUGACUUCCAAAGCUUUAUUUUAAACUUAUGUGGAUAUCUUUUGAUCUGUACGAUGGAUGGCUGAACGAACUACGCCAACAACUCCAGAAUAUUAAUUUUAGGCUAGGUAGACCUUUGGUUUGGGUCCUAGUGCAUUCAAGUUCAUUUCGACCUAUUGGUCAGAAAGUUGAAAAAUUGAAAAUAUGGGUGUGGGACCCACGUUUGGUCAAAACAACCUCAGAUAAAAAAUCUAACUUUUCCAGUAGAUUCAAAACGUCGAUUAUAGGGUGAUAACAUAUUUGAUGUGAUUUUACGGCUUUUCAAUCUCAUUUUGACCCUCGAUUUGGAAAAUUAUAAUUUCGGAUUUCGGUUGUCAACUAUGUGAAAAUGAUAUUUUUUUGAAAAUCUGAAAUCACCAUUGAAUUUGGAGAGUCAAAUUUAGUGUGGUUACAUAGUUUGUUUAUUUAUAUUAGACUCCGAACGAAUUCUGAGCACCCCAUCGAAGUUUGUCCGGACUUAUAAAAAAAUUGGUGUAGAUUUUUCUGCAUUAUUAAUAGCAGUUUUCAAGCCCAUUUUGUUCAUUUUUCAUCUGGCCUCUUGAGAGUUAAACCCUAAAAAUAGUGUGGGAGCUUAAAAGUGAAGCUUGUGGAAGCUUGGGAAGCAAGAUUAACAUCUAUUUCUUGAUUCUAUUACGGAUUUAAGGUAAGAAUUCAACAUAUUCUUAGUCAUUUCUUGAUUAAUUUCUCAACACCUCAAAAAUCUUAGGGCUUGAUUUUAAACCUCAAUUUCACUCCUUUUUCACUUGAAUAAUAUUUUAAUCUUAUAAUUAUGAGUGUUUCAUCAAUUUAACAUUCAAAACAAUUCCAAUUCUUAGUUUUCACCCGAAUUUCAAAGAUUUUAUCUAGUACAACUUAAAAAUAGUUUUUCUUUGAUUUUAACCUUAUUUUUGACUCGAUUUGACUUGAAUUUUCAUAUGUAGGAUCCUACAAAUAUGGGAAACACGUUUUUGAAGUAAAGUUAUGAUUUUGCUCUUCUUUUUCAAAAAUCCAUUUCGGGGAGUUUGUUUUGACCCCGAACCAAAAAAAUUACUCAAUAUGGGUGUCGUUGAUUUUGUUUUGAUGCGUAGAUUCCAUAUUUGAUGUUUUUAGUGAAGCUCGGUACCAUUUGUGAGGAGUAAAACUUUGGGAGCAAAGUCUUGAUUCCGAUAUUUUAGUUUUUGAGGUAGGUUAUGACUUAACUCUUUCAGACUGGGCUAGUAGUAAAUGAUGGUAGAAAAUACAUGUUGAGGCUGAGAACUAAUCAUGAAAAAUGGGUAUCUAUGUGUGUUUCCAUGUGGGGGCCUAUAUGUAAUGUAAUUGUUGAAAUUAAGAUAUUAUGUGAUAGUGUGAUCGUGUGCGAUCCUAUGUGAUGUAGAUAGCCUUAAAUAUAUAUGAAUAAUUGUAUUGUGUUGUUGAAAUGUCUAAUGUGAUGUCAUUGGUGUAUUGAGAUAUAUUCAUACUUGUUAUAUGAGACGUGUAAAUUCAUGGAUGAAACAAAAAUAAUAAGUGAAUUAUUGGCUCAUGUGGUUGUGGAAAUGUAUAAUUAUGGUUGGUUGUGGAAAUAUAUUAUUGUGGCUGGUUAUGAAAAUACUCAUUGUGAUUGGUUGUGGUCAUUACAUCUUCAUAUCAUACUCAUUCAUGAAACAUUGGUACCACCAUGGCAACAUCUGAAAAACACUGACAAUACCUUUAAUAAAACCCUCCCCAAGGGAAGUGCUGGGAGGAGAUAUUGCAACACCUUAUAAAACUCUUUCCGAGAGACAUGUCAAAAAGUUCAUAUGAGAUAUGUGGAUUGUAUACGGAUUGACGAACUCCCCAUGGGUCCUAUCCUACAUCGAGAAGCUUUAGUUCCGUAGGUGUAUACAGGGAUUGUGCGACGAUCCCGGAGGUUGUGCAACGACCUCGUGCAUCAUCAUCAUUAUCAUAUACAUUGUACUUACUUUAUUAUGUUUAUGUUGUUUUGUAUUGCCAUAUUGACUUGUCAUCUAUGUAUUUCUCUUACCUUCCUUUACUUAUAUUUGAUGAUCUUGUAUCCACAUGUUCUCCUUUGUUCUACUUAUAUGUGGCAUAAUGCAUUCUUGUGUUCUAUCUUGGUGUGUUAUUGUAAUAUAGGUGAUAUAUUAGAACUGUUAGUGUAACCGGUGUAAGCUAUCGUUGUGAGAUAUUUUCUGAUUACAGAUGACAUACCCUUAGUGUGUAUUUUGUAUGCUUCAUUUUUUCUACUUUGCUUGGUUGGUCUAUGAUACCUACUUAGUAUAAGUGGACCGUACUCACUCCUACUUCAUCCUUUUGGUGCACCUUUAGGUUCGAGUGCGCCUUAGACUAGUUAAUUUUUGGGCACCUUCAGAUUACUCAAGGUAGCGGUUGGACAUUCAUACGUCCGUAGUUCACCUCUAUCUUUCUAUAUUAGUUAUGUCUUUAUUAGUAUUUGGAGACAGAUAUUAUUCCUUUGUGGUUAUUUUUCUGAUGUAUUUGACUCCUGGAUAGUAUUAGUAGUUCUUACACCAUUGACAACAGGUUUUGGGAGUUAUGGCUGCAUGUGUUGAUUUUAUUUUUUCCACUUGUAUUAUAUCUAUAUGGUUCAGCUUUAUUCUAGAAGCCUUAUCUUGGGGGGCAUUUCUAUUUUUUUUUGUGUGUAUCAGUUUGGGUGAGACUUACUUGUCAAGGUUCGCCGCGACAAGUGCCAUCAUGACCCUUAUUUUUGGGUCGUGACAAGGAAUGUUAAAACAUGACAUGGUUAUGGAGAUUAACAGGAAUCUGUAUAUGUUUCCAAAAUUAGAUUCCCUUGGCUUAAGGAAAUCCCUGAUUCAUGGCCAAUGAUAGUUAAAAUGUUUGAAGAGUACACCCUCAUUGUUUCUUGCAAAAUUGUCUGACGGAAACAUCCGUAAAGGGAUUACAAAUGUAAUUUAGAUGGGGCAUAAAUAGAAUUCUGGGCCUUAUGCUAGUGGCUUUUGCAUAAAAAAUAAAGAUGAAGACUUUAUUUAUGCUGCAUCAAACACAGUUAAAGAGGGGUCUGGACUAGAAGCUGAGGUGAAAGCUAUGAGAUUAGCCCGGGAGUUUUGUAUAGGCAAAAAUCUGUUACCUCUGACCAUGGAAAUAUAUUCCCUCAUAAUCAAUAAGAUUCUUGAUGGUAUAUGAGAGAUGCCCUGGACAAUUACCAUAGAGAUAAUAAGGAUAAAACAAUUGAUGGAGAAUAAUUUGGAGGAUGUGGAGCAUACAUUUCGAGAAGGCAAUAAAUUGACCGAUUUUUUCACUAACAUUAUUUUUAGUUUUGCAGGUACAAAUAACAUACAAUUUAGCUCAAUACAGGAGGUUCUGGAAUAAGAAAGGAAAAUCAUAAAUUUAGAGAAAAACAAAACUACAUAUUUAAGGAUAAGGAAACGUCACAACAGGUGUUUCAAUCAACCACAGGGACAAACACAAUCACACAAGCAGAUUGAUUUAAACAUACAAAUAACCAGCUGAAGUGGGCUAUAAUAAAAAUGAACUGAGAAAGUAGGAAGAAAGGACUUGCCCUUUAGCUCUGAGCCUUUUGCAGAGGUAUUAGCUUCAAGGAGAUCAUUUUGCAAAGGGUAAGGAAAUGAAAAAAAAAUCAAUCAAAAAAGCAUUUCAUACCAAAUUAUGGGAAUUGGAAUUUGACUUUACCUCAUCGUGAAGAGCUGGAAUACUGGUAAUGAGCUGAAGAAGUCUUCAACGAGUUGAAUUCAUGGCGCCUGUGAGAAUUUGUUGGGUGUUUAAGUUAACAUCAGUCAAUCACACUGAUGAUAUAAACCGUCUUCUACGAGAUGAUAAGAUCAAUGAGAUCUAUGGGUGCAGCAGUUCGCAAGUCACCGACAAUGGUUGGCCGAUCAACCAGGGAUUUAGUACUUUGGAGCUUUUACAGAUUUCCUAAUUUGGUUGUAAAUAUUAGCUUAGACUUGUUUUGUCUGUUUUUUGUUAUUUCGGGUAUGGGCUUUGGUCUCUUUUGGGACAUUGCCCAUUACCAUUUGAACCUUUGUUUUCUGAUUUUCUAAUAAAUGGCAUGGCCCGUAUUUACUUUAAACUACCCUCCUUCAUCAUAAAAAAUAUUUCACUUUAUUCAAGAAUUGUGGUUUGGUUAUAAAAU